This 264-nucleotide ribosomal RNA is filed under the name uncultured bacterium. Its description in RNAcentral is "partial 16S ribosomal RNA". It matches the Rfam family "Bacterial small subunit ribosomal RNA", at positions 90 to 354 of the family's 1533-position model. The record is from RNAcentral.
UCUUAGUGGCGGACGGGUGAGUAACGCGUGGGUAACCUGCCUUAUACAGGGGGAUAACACUUAGAAAUAGGUGCUAAUACCGCAUAAGCGCACGGGGCUGCAUGGCCCAGUGUGAAAAACUCCGGUGGUAUAAGAUGGACCCGCGUCUGAUUAGCUUGUUGGCGGGGUAACGGCCCACCAAGGCGACGAUCAGUAGCCGGCCUGAGAGGGUGGACGGCCACAUUGGGACUGAGGCACGGCCCAAACUCCUACGGAAGGCAGCAG